UCAGACAAUCAUAGGUAGCCAGCUGCCAAGU
Molecule: non-coding RNA, 31 nt
Filed under: Rattus norvegicus (Norway rat)
Lineage: Eukaryota; Metazoa; Chordata; Mammalia; Rodentia; Muridae
Source: RNAcentral